UACGUAGGGAGCGAGCGUUAUCCGGAAUUAUUGGGUGUAAAGGGUGCGUAGACGGGAGAACAAGUUAGUUGUGAAAUACCUCGGCUCAACUGAGGAACUGCAACUAAAACUGUACUUCUUGAGUGCAGGAGAGGUAAGUGGAAUUCCUAGUGUAGCGGUGAAAUGCGUAGAUAUUAGGAGGAACACCAGUGGCGAAGGCGACUUACUGGACUGUAACUGACGUUGAGGCACGAAAGUGUGGGGAGCAAACAGGAUUAGAUACCCUGGUAGUCCACACCGUAAACGAUGGAUACUAGGUGUAGGAGGUAUUAAGCCUUCUGUGCCGUCGCAAACGCAGUAAGUAUCCCACCUGGGGAGUACGGCCGCAAGGUUGAA
RNAcentral lists this ribosomal RNA (375 nucleotides) under uncultured bacterium. RNAcentral describes it as "bacterial SSU rRNA". It matches the Rfam family "Bacterial small subunit ribosomal RNA", at positions 524 to 898 of the family's 1533-position model. The record is from RNAcentral.